Molecule: ribosomal RNA, 305 nt
Filed under: uncultured bacterium
Lineage: Bacteria
Description: bacterial SSU rRNA
Rfam family: Bacterial small subunit ribosomal RNA
Source: RNAcentral
UAACACCUACGGGGCGCAGCAGUGAGGAAUAUUGGUCAAUGGCCGAGAGGCUGAACCAGCCAAGUCGCGUGAGGGAAGACGGCCCUACGGGUUGUAAACCUCUUUUGUCGGGGAGCAAAGAGAGUCACGUGUGACUCAUUGAGAGUACCCGAAGAAAAAGCAUCGGCUAACUCCGUGCCAGCAGCCGCGGUAAUACGUAGGUGGCGAGCGUUAUCCGGAAUGAUUGGGCGUAAAGGGUGCGUAGGCGGCCUGCUAAGUCUGGAGUGAAAGGUACCGGCUCAACCGGUACAGGCUCUGGAAACGGG